This 373-nucleotide unclassified non-coding RNA is filed under the name soil metagenome. RNAcentral's name for it is "partial contains 5.8S ribosomal RNA, internal transcribed spacer 2, and large subunit ribosomal RNA". The stretch from base 1 to 121 matches the Rfam family "5.8S ribosomal RNA", at positions 35 to 154 of the family's 154-position model. The record is from RNAcentral.
GAUGAAGAACGCAGCGGAAUGCGAUAAGUAAUGCGAAUUGCAGAAUUCCAGUGAGUCAUCGAAUCUUUGAACGCACAUUGCGCCCUUUGGUAUUCCGAAGGGCAUGCCUGUUCGAGCGUCAUUAUCACCCCUCAAGCCCUCGGCUUGGUGUUGGACGGUUUGGUGGAGGCCCCCUCGGGGGUUCCUGCCCCUCCCAAAGACAAUGACGGCGGCCUCGUUGGACCCCCGGUACACUGAGUUCUUCACGGGACACGUAUCGGACACAUGGGUUUACGGGACACGGUCUGCCUCCCCUCAGGGAGAAUCUUUCUAAGGUUGACCUCGGAUCAGGUAGGGAUACCCGCUGAACUUAAGCAUAUCAAUAAGCGGAGGA